GCCAGGUGUGGUGGUGCAUGCCUGUAAUCCCAGAGGCUUGGGAGGCUGAGGUAGGAGGAUUGCAAAUUCAAAACCAGCCUCAG
RNAcentral lists this small RNA (83 nucleotides) under Marmota monax (woodchuck). Lineage: Eukaryota; Metazoa; Chordata; Mammalia; Rodentia; Sciuridae. The record is from RNAcentral.